AUAUGGAAAAUUAAAAUGCCACCUAGGGUAAAAGUGUUCAUGUGGCUAGCUCUUAGGAAUAACAUCCUCACAAAAGUUAAUUUGCUCCGUAGAGGAUGGAAAGGUGACAAAAAGUGCCCCUUUUGUGGGCAAGUUGAAACUAUUGAUCGUCUCUUCUUUUCCUGUUAG
This 168-nucleotide ribosomal RNA is filed under the name Triticum aestivum (bread wheat). RNAcentral's name for it is "partial small subunit ribosomal RNA". The record is from RNAcentral. Lineage: Eukaryota; Viridiplantae; Streptophyta; Magnoliopsida; Poales; Poaceae.